Bos taurus (domestic cattle) is the source of this 1523-nucleotide long non-coding RNA. NCBI's taxonomy places the organism in Eukaryota, Metazoa, Chordata, Mammalia, Artiodactyla, Bovidae. The record is from Ensembl.
GCAAAGCGGCUUUAAGAUCCUCCUGGGUUUUGAACAUCACAAUGGGUGUGAGGUCAUCUUAAACGGUGAAGAUUUUGGCGGCUAGGAAAGAAAAAAAAAAAAACGACUUCAAGUCUCUUAAGGUUUAUCCAGUUUUUGCUCAUAAAAUGACACCUUUUAGGUUAAAGCAUGCCUCUUUUAACACCACACUAAUACUGCCUGUUAAGAAUGUUUGCUUUUAGAGUCGAUGGAAGGCUCCCAAUGGGGUUUUUUGCUCUCAAAUUAACUGCUAAAGGCACUUAGACCCUUCUGUGGGGAGAGCGAGGUGGUUGCUCCUGUAAAUGUGUCCCCUUCCUCUCGUCAGCAUGGCCUCGUCCUUCAGAGCUCUCGCAGACUGAAGAGCACUGGUCUUUAGUGAGGGAACAAAGACUGCAUAUGAAUAAAUUACUACCUGCUUUUUUGUAAGCAAAGAUGAAAGGGUUCUGUUUUGUUCCUUUCACACUGUGGUGCGUCCUAAGGUAGUAGAUUCUUACCUAAGAAUUUUAGAGGCUCAAGGAUCUUUCAGGAGGUACAUCUUCGCAGAAAAUAGGUGAAAGAAAGUGUGUAUGGAAGGGCAUGUGUGGAGUUGAGGAAAAACACUGGUGGGAGUUUGGUGUUAAUCCCUAGAUGAGGAGCAGAAAGACUUGUGAAAAUUGACUUCAGUUUAUCAAACAAAAUUAGUCUAUACAAUAUGCAACACCUAAUCUUUUAAAGUAGGUUUGUGAGAAUCUUGGCAAGAAACAAAAGCCCUAUUGACAACAUCUUACCCAUUAAAAGUAGGUUUGUUUUUUUUUAAUGUGCUUGAUAGAAAAUAGUGAUAUUAGCAAUAGUGAUAUUAGUUCUCUGGACAGAACUACAGGAGUCUAACAGCUGUAGGUUUGAACCCUGUAAUUAUACUGGGAAAUUCUCUUCUAACUCUCCCAUCUUUAAUUUCACUGAAAAGGCAGGUGGCUAUUUAUAGAUAGUAUAUUUUUGUAUAUGCAUAUGUGGACGGUGAAUAACAGUCUAACAGGGCUUCAGGAAAUCCUACGUGUGGGUCUGUUCUAUUUUUCUCUUAUUUCACUCUCAGUGACAUUAAUGUAAUUUAAUAAAACUUGGUUCUUCAACUCUUACUUUUCAACUUGUAACAUUUCUUACCUCUGAAUCUAUAUUCCUCACAUUUCAUAAAAAAGUAAACUAGUUAAAAGGGUACCAUUAAAAUGUCAAGUCUUUGGUAAACACACAUUGUGCCUCUUACUCUCUGGUUGAAAAAAAAAAAGUUCUAAUUGGAAUUUUCUCAAUUAGUACCACAGUGGUGGAAAAAAGGAAUUUUGACCAAGACAAUUGUUUAUUAUAAGUGAUCCAGUCCAAGAAGUACUAACCAAGCAGCCACUAUAGAAAACGUGCUUUCCCAGGGGCUGGAGGGAUUCAAGAUAAAAAAAAAGACACUCCACCUGAGAUCGGUUCCUUCAUCUCCAGAGGCCUUUCUUUCAUCAGCUGAAGAUGACAUCUGAGAUGAAGACCUU